AACGAACGCUGGCGGCAGGCCUAAAACAUGCAAGUCGAACGAACCUUCGGGUUAGUGGCGCACGGGUGAGUAACGCGUGGGAAUAUCCCCUUCACUGCGGAACAACGUCGGGAAACUGACGCUAAUACCGCAUAAUGACUCCGGUCCAAAGAUUUAUCGGUGAAGGAUUAGCCCGCGUUAGAUUAGCUAGUUGGUGAGGUAACGGCUCACCAAGGCGACGAUCUAUAGGGGGUCUGAGAGGAUGAUCCCCCACACUGGAACUGAGACACGGUCCAGACUCCUACGGGAGGCAGCAGUUAGGAAUAUUGGACAAUGGGGGCAACCCUGAUCCAGCCAUGCCGCGUGUGUGAAGAAGGCCUUAGGGUUGUAAAGCACUUUCGGCUGUGAAGAUAAUGACAGUAGCAGAAGAAGAAGCUCCGGCUAAAUUCGUG
Molecule: ribosomal RNA, 431 nt
Filed under: uncultured organism
Description: bacterial SSU rRNA
Rfam family: Bacterial small subunit ribosomal RNA
Source: RNAcentral